AGCGUAACAAGGUUUCCGUAGGUGAACCUGCGGAAGGAUCAUUAAUGAAUUUAUGACAGGGUUGUAGCUGGCCUCAAUCGGGGCAUGUGCACGCCUUGCUCAUUUCCAACCUUUACACCUCUGUGCACUUUACAUAGGCUUGGUCUGGGCUGUGUCCAUUUAUAAUGGGAUGGCUGGCUGGCCUAUGCAUCCUAUUACAAACGCUUUAGUUUUAGAAUGUUAAUCUGCGCAUAACGCAACUAUAUACAACUUUCAGCAACGGAUCUCUUGGCUCUCGCAUCGAUGAAGAACGCAGCGAAAUGCGAUAAGUAAUGUGAAUUGCAGAAUUCAGUGAAUCAUCGAAUCUUUGAAUGCACCUUGCGCCUCCCGGUAUUCCGGGAGGCAUGCCUGUUUGAGUGUCAUGGUAUUCUCAAUACCCUAAAUCUUUGCAGAUGAGGGUGUAUUGGACUUGGAGGUUUUUAUCAUGCUGGCUUCACUGUCGGCUCCUCUGAAAUAUAUUAGCAGAGAUAUUGCUGUUACUUCUCCAGUGUGAUAAUUGUCUACGCUGCAAGAUGUACGGCGAACUGAAGUCUGUGCUUUCUAAUUGUCUUUGGACAAUUUUUUAAAAUUCGACCUCAAAUCAGGCAGGACUACCCGCUGAACUUAAGCAUAUAAA
RNAcentral lists this ribosomal RNA (655 nucleotides) under Irpiciporus xuchilensis. Its description in RNAcentral is "eukaryotic LSU rRNA". The stretch from base 248 to 401 matches the Rfam family "5.8S ribosomal RNA". Lineage: Eukaryota; Fungi; Basidiomycota; Agaricomycetes; Polyporales; Meruliaceae. The record is from RNAcentral.